UACGUAGGGUCCGAGCGUUGUCCGGAAUUACUGGGCGUAAAGAGCUCGUAGGUGGUUUGUCGCGUUGUUCGUGAAAACUCACAGCUUAACUGUGGGCGUGCGGGCGUGACGGGGCAGACUGGAGUACUGCAGGGGAGACUGGAAUUCCUGGUGUAGCGGUGGAAUGCGCAGAGUAUCAGGAGGAACACCGGUGGCGAAGGCGGGUCUCUGGGCAGUGAACUGACGCUGAGGAGCGAAAAGCGUGGGGAGCGAAACAGG
This 258-nucleotide ribosomal RNA is filed under the name uncultured bacterium. RNAcentral describes it as "partial 16S ribosomal RNA". It matches the Rfam family "Bacterial small subunit ribosomal RNA", at positions 524 to 776 of the family's 1533-position model. The record is from RNAcentral.